Molecule: non-coding RNA, 57 nt
Organism: Streptomyces phaeoluteigriseus
Lineage: Bacteria; Bacillati; Actinomycetota; Actinomycetes; Kitasatosporales; Streptomycetaceae
Source: Rfam
CCGACGGGCGACCGCCCGCUCGGAUACUGACCCCGGUACCUGGUACGGCCGGGGCAG